GAUGUUUUCACGAAGGAAACAAAUUCUAAUGUGUGACAAAGCACACCGUUUCUUCGUUGUCCGAAGAUAUUCACACACCCAGCAUUGAGUAUAUAGACAUCAAUCAUAAAACCGAUCACUGGCCGGAGCCCCUAAAUCUGAGUUAAGUAUAAUAAUAUUCAUGCAGUGUCGAGAUAUCAUAAGCCAUCAUGGCCAAACAAAUUUCAAGGCUUUGCUCUUUUGUAUUAUUAUACA
This 234-nucleotide unclassified non-coding RNA is filed under the name Hevea brasiliensis (rubber tree). Lineage: Eukaryota; Viridiplantae; Streptophyta; Magnoliopsida; Malpighiales; Euphorbiaceae. The record is from RNAcentral.